UAGCCGGAUAGAAAGCAGAUCGCAUGAUCAGCUUUAAAGGCGGCGUAAGCUGUCGCUAUGGGGAUGGGCCCCGCGGUGCAUUAGCUAGUUGGCAAGGUAAAGGCUUACCAAGGGCGAUGAUGCAUAGCCCGAGUUGAGAGACUGAUCGGCCACAUUGGGGACUGAGACACGGCCCAAACUCCUACGGGGAGGCAGCAGUAGGGAAUCUUCCACAAUGGACGCAAGUCUGAUGGAGCAAAUGCCGCGUGAGUGAAGAAGGUUUUCGGAUCGUAAAAAGCUCUGUUGUUGGUGAAGAAGGAUAGAGGUAGUAACUGGCCCUUUAUUUGACGGUAAUCAACCCAGAAAGUCACGGGCUAACUACGUGCCCAGCAGCCGCGGUAAAU
RNAcentral lists this ribosomal RNA (383 nucleotides) under uncultured Lactobacillales bacterium. RNAcentral's name for it is "bacterial SSU rRNA". It matches the Rfam family "Bacterial small subunit ribosomal RNA", at positions 167 to 525 of the family's 1533-position model. The record is from RNAcentral. Lineage: Bacteria; Bacillati; Bacillota; Bacilli; Lactobacillales.